Molecule: ribosomal RNA, 494 nt
Filed under: uncultured bacterium
Lineage: Bacteria
Description: bacterial SSU rRNA
Rfam family: Bacterial small subunit ribosomal RNA
Source: RNAcentral
UCGAACGAGAAAGCCCUUCGGGGUGAGUAGAGUGGCGAACGGGUGAGUAACACGUGGGCAACCUGCCCCUCGCAGGGGGAUAACCGGAGGAAACUCCGGCUAAUACCCCGUAAGCUUCGGUGGUCGCAUGGCCUCCGGAGGAAAGGUAGCUUCGGCCAUCCGGCGAGGGAUGGGCCCGCGGUGCAUUAGCUAGUUGGUGGGGUAACGGCCUACCAAGGCGACGAUGCGUAGCUGGUCUGAGAGGAUGAUCAGCCACACUGGGACUGAGACACGGCCCAGACUCCUACGGGAGGCAGCAGCCAGGAAUCUUGGGCAAUGGGCGCAAGCCUGACCCAGCAACACCGUGUGGGCGAUGAAGGCCUUCGGGUCGUAAAGCCCUGUUGAUAGGGACGAAGGGCGAAGGGUUAAUAGCCCCUAGCCUGACGGUACCUUUCGAGGAAGCCCCGGCUAACUACGUGCCAGCAGCCGCGGUAAUACGUAGGGGGCGAGCGUUG